This 253-nucleotide ribosomal RNA is filed under the name uncultured bacterium. RNAcentral describes it as "partial 16S ribosomal RNA". It matches the Rfam family "Bacterial small subunit ribosomal RNA", at positions 524 to 776 of the family's 1533-position model. The record is from RNAcentral.
UACGGAGGGUGCAAGCGUUAUCCGGAUUUACUGGGCUUAAAGGGUGCGUAGGCGGGCUUUUAAGUCAGUGGUGAAAUCUCCGAGCUUAACUCGGAAAUUGCCAUUGAUACUAUUAGUCUUGAAUUAAGUUGAGGUGGGCGGAAUGUGUCAUGUAGCGGUGAAAUGCGUAGAGAUCGGAAAGAACACCAACGGCGAAAGCACUCUGCUGGGCCGACACUGACACUGGGAGACGAAAGCUAGGGGAGCGAAUGGG